This is a long non-coding RNA of Perca fluviatilis (European perch), 647 nucleotides long. RefSeq lists it as uncharacterized. The transcript is spliced from 4 exons. Lineage: Eukaryota; Metazoa; Chordata; Actinopteri; Perciformes; Percidae. The record is from RefSeq and is a predicted model, not a curated record.
CAGCAGAUAACAACACAACUUUACCAGUCUCACCAGCAGAUAACAACACAACUUUACCAGUCUCACCAGCAGAUUACAGCACAACUUUAGCUACAGCAGGGACAACACCGACAGACACCAGGACAACUCUGGAUACCACUAGUGUCACAUCUUCACCAGCAGAUACCUAUAUAGUGGCCAUUGACCUGAAAGCUUAUGUAUUAUCCCAGAAUGGGGAAAAUGAAGAUGUGAUUUUUGAGGCUAUCUCCAAUUUUAUUUCCCAGACCCUUCUCCAGCUGAACUGUGAGGGCUGCUCAUCAACUAUCAGACACAUCAAACGCACCUGAGAAAGGCCAAUGUCUCAGCCAACGGGAGCACCAGUGUGGCUGUAGCUGUACUGGGACAACAGGCUGCACAACUCUCAGAAACAACACCAUUACUUUGAAUUUCGGCAUUCAUUCCAACAGCCCUAUCAGAGAUAUUAGGUCUACAUGAUUAAUACAUUUCUUAUGUACCCUUUUAACAUGUAAAAUGAUAUGCAGUACUAUAAAGCUCUAUAACUAACUAAAGUUCUCACACAGGUAUAUUUUACAACUUAAAACCAGGGUGUGAACUACGGGGGAGCUCGGCUCCCCUUAAUAAGACAUGGGCUCCCCUGAAAAUGUGAU